CGGAGAGGGAGCCUGAGAAACGGCUACCACAUCUAAGGAAGGCAGCAGGCGCGUAAAUUACCCAAUGCAGAUUCUGCGAGGUAGUGACAAUACAUAACAACCUGGGGUCUCACGACUUACGGGAUUGCAAUGAGAACAAUUUAAAAACCUUAACGAGGAACAAGUGGAGGGCAAGUCUGGUGCCAGCAGCCGCGGUAAUUCCAGCUCCACUAGCGUAUAUUAAAGUUGUUGCAGUUAAAAAGCUCGUAGUUGAACUUCUGGUUGUGCGCCAGUGGUCGGUCUUCGAUCGCCCUGGGUGCAGCCAUCCGUCUGCAAACUUUUACAUCCUUAACUGGUUUGUCUAAGGGAGCAGGCAUUUUACUUUGAAAAAAUUAGAGUGUUUAAGGCAGGCACUAGCCGCUGAAUACAUUAGCAUGGAAUAAUGGAAUAGGACGCCUUGUCCAUUUGAUUGGUUAUUGGACUUGCGUAAUGAUUAAUAGGGACAGUUGGGGGCAUUAGUAUUUAAUUGUCAGAGGUGAAAUUCUUGGAUUUAUUAAAGACUAACUUAUGCGAAAGCAUUUGCCAAGGAUGUUUUCAUUAAUCAAGAACGAAAGUUAGGGGAUCAAAGACGAUCAGAUACCGUCCUAGUCUUAACUAUAAACUAUACCGACUCGGUUUUGGUGGGGUGUGUAUAACUCUAUCAGCGCCGUAUGAGAAAUCAAAGUCUUUGGGUUCUGGGGGGAGUAUGGUCGCAAGGCUGAAACUUAAAGGAAUUGACGGAAGGGCACCACCAGGUGUGGAGCCUGCGGCUUAAUUUGACUCAACACGGGGAAACUUACCAGGUCAAAACAUGGGUGGGAUUGACAGAUUGAGAGCUCUUUCUUGAUUCUGUGGGUGGUGGUGCAUGGCCGUUCUUAGUUGGUGGAGUGAUUUGUCUGCUUAAUUGCGUUAACGAACGAGACCUUAACCUGCUUAAUAGGUGCCCCGUGUACAACGGGGUACUCUUCUUAGAGGGACUAUGCGUUUCAAGCGCAUGGAAGUUUGAGGCAAUAACAGGUCUGUGAUGCCCCUAGAUGUCCUGGGCCGCACGCGCGCUACACUGACCCACUCAGCAAGUACUCCCUGGCCUGGAAAGGUUCGGGUAAUCUUCGCAAUAUGGGUCGUGUUAGGGAUCGAUCUUUGCAAUUAUAGAUCUUGAACGAGGAAUACCUAGUAAGUGCAAGUCAUCAGCUUGUACUGAUUACGUCCCUGCCCUUUGUACACACCGCCCGUCGCUCCUACCGAUUUCGAAUGGUCCGGUGAACCUUCUGGAGCAGUCGCAAGACCGCGAAGUUAAGUAAACCUUAUCAUUUAGAGGAAGGAGAAGUCGUAACAAGGUAACC
This 1361-nucleotide ribosomal RNA is filed under the name uncultured microeukaryote. RNAcentral's name for it is "SSU rRNA". It matches the Rfam family "Eukaryotic small subunit ribosomal RNA", at positions 384 to 1804 of the family's 1831-position model. The record is from RNAcentral.